CGCGGCCUAUCAGCUUGUUGGUGGGGUGAUGGCCUACCAAGGCGACGACGGGUAGCCGGCCUGAGAGGGCGACCGGCCACACUGGGACUGAGACACGGCCCAGACUCCUACGGGAGGCAGCAGUGGGGAAUAUUGCACAAUGGGCGCAAGCCUGAUGCAGCGACGCCGCGUGAGGGAUGACGGCCUUCGGGUUGUAAACCUCUUUCGCCAGGGACGAAGCCUUUUGGGGUGACGGUACCUGGAGAAGAAGCACCGGCUAACUACGUGCCAGCAGCCGCGGUAAUACGUAGGGUGCGAGCGUUGUCCGGAAUUAUUGGGCGUAAAGAGCUCGUAGGCGGUUUGUCGCGUCGGCCGUGGAAACUGGAGGCUUAACCUUCAGCGUGCGGUCGAUACGG
This 395-nucleotide ribosomal RNA is filed under the name uncultured Actinomycetes bacterium. Its description in RNAcentral is "bacterial SSU rRNA". It matches the Rfam family "Bacterial small subunit ribosomal RNA", at positions 232 to 635 of the family's 1533-position model. The record is from RNAcentral. Lineage: Bacteria; Bacillati; Actinomycetota; Actinomycetes.